CAGCUUCAAAUCGUCUUCGGACAACUAAUUGACCAUUUGACCUCAAAUCACGUAGGACUACCCGCUGAACUUAAGCAUAUCAAUAAGCGGAGGAA
Molecule: ribosomal RNA, 95 nt
Filed under: Rhodotus asperior
Lineage: Eukaryota; Fungi; Basidiomycota; Agaricomycetes; Agaricales; Physalacriaceae
Description: partial 28S ribosomal RNA
Rfam family: Eukaryotic large subunit ribosomal RNA (bases 38-95)
Source: RNAcentral